Molecule: ribosomal RNA, 908 nt
Filed under: Paracercion melanotum
Lineage: Eukaryota; Metazoa; Arthropoda; Insecta; Odonata; Coenagrionidae
Description: SSU rRNA
Rfam family: Eukaryotic small subunit ribosomal RNA
Source: RNAcentral
CCAUGCAUGUCUCAGUACUAACCGCUUUAAGGCGAAACCGCGAAUGGCUCAUUAAAUCAGUUAUGGUUCCUUGGAUCUUACCCACACUUACAUGGAUAACUGUGGUAAUUCUAGAGCUAAUACAUGAACCUCGUGCCCCGACCAGUGAUGGGAGGGGUGCUUUUAUUAGAACAAAACCAAUCGGUCGGCUCGUCCGUCCGUUGCCUUGGUGACUCUGAAUAACUUUUGGCUGAUCGCACGGUCCUGGCACCGGCGACGCAUCUUUCAAAUGUCUGCCUUAUCAACUUUCGAUGGUAGGUUCUGCGCCUACCAUGGUUGUAACGGGUGACGGGGAAUCAGGGUUCGAUCCCGGAGAGGGAGCCUGAGAAACGGCUACCACAUCCAAGGAAGGCAGCAGGCGCGCAAAUUACCCACUCCCGGAACGGGGAGGUAGUGACGAAAAAUAACGAUACGGGACUCAUCCGAGGCCCCGUAAUCGGAAUGAGAACACUUUAAAUCCUUUAACGAGGAUCUAUUGGAGGGCAAGUCUGGUGCCAGCAGCCGCGGUAAUUCCAGCUCCAAUAGCGUAUAUUAAAGUUGUUGCGGUUAAAAAGCUCGUAGUCGGAGGUGUGUCUCGGACGGUCGGUUCGCCGCUUGUCGGUGCUCAACUGGCCGGUCCGGACGUCCUGCCGGUGGGGCCGCGAGGCCCCGUCAUCCUUCUUUGGUCCUCUUCACCGAGUGCCUUGGUGGGCCGGCACGUUUACUUUGAACAAAUUAGAGUGCUCAAAGCAGGCCGUUGGUCGCCUGAAUACUGUGUGCAUGGAAUAAUGGAAUAGGACCUCGGUUCCAUUUUGUUGGUUUUCAGAACUCGAGGUAAUGAUUAAUAGGGACGGACGGGGGCAUUCGUAUUGCGACGUUAGAGGUGAAAU